RNAcentral lists this ribosomal RNA (207 nucleotides) under uncultured bacterium. Its description in RNAcentral is "partial 16S ribosomal RNA". It matches the Rfam family "Bacterial small subunit ribosomal RNA", at positions 568 to 774 of the family's 1533-position model. The record is from RNAcentral.
UGUGUAGGCGGGGAGGCAAGUCAGAUGUGAAAGCUAUGAGCUCAACCCAUGAAGUGCAUUUGAAACUGUUUCUCUUGAGUGUCGGAGGGGUAAAUGGAAUUCCCAGUGUAGCGGUGAAAUGCGUAGAUAUUGGGAGGAACACCAGUGGCGAAGGCGAUUUACUGGACGACAACUGACGCUGAGACACGAAAGCGUGGGGAGCAAACA